CCCAGACUCCUACGGGAGGCAGCAGUGAGGAAUAUUGGUCAAUGGGCGGGAGCCUGAACCAGCCAGGUCGCGUGUGGGAUGACGGCCCUCGGGUUGUAAACCACUUUAGUAGAGAACGAAAAGGAGCUAUCGAAUAAAUAGCUCUGCUGACGGUACUCUAAGAAAAAGCAUCGGCUAACUCCGUGCCAGCAGCCGCGGUAAUACGGAGGAUGCGAGCGUUAUCCGGAUUUAUUGGGUUUAAAGGGUGCGUAGGCGGAAUGCCAAGUCAGCGGUAAAAUCGCGGGGCUCAACCUCGCUCCGCCGUUGAAACUGGCGUUCUUGAGUGGGCGAGAAGUAUGCGGAAUGCGUGGUGUAGCGGUGAAAUGCAUAGAUAUCACGCAGAACUCCGAUUGCGAAGGCAGCAUACCGGCGCCCAACUGACGCUGAAGCACGAAAGCGUGGGUAUCGAACAGGAUUAGAUACCCGAGUAU
Molecule: ribosomal RNA, 470 nt
Filed under: uncultured bacterium
Lineage: Bacteria
Description: bacterial SSU rRNA
Rfam family: Bacterial small subunit ribosomal RNA
Source: RNAcentral